GAGACUGGAGAGGAAGGACAUCACAAGAUACCAAGCACCAUAUUGUCAAGAUGAUCAAGUUUUGCUUUAUUGCUGCACUGCUCAUCUUUGCUGGCUUCCCAGCACAUACAGAGAGUACUAGUGAGUGCAGCCAAGAUUCGGACUGCAGUUGCUCUCACUGUACUUACGGAGGCAACCCUCACUGUACCCUAACAUGCACUGGAGCUUGCUCGUGUGGUGGGUGCGUCAUUUAGACACUCUGAUAUGGCCCAACAAGACUUCCAAGCUAAACAGAUCAUGGGAUGCUGUGCAAAUUUUCAUAAUUUUUGCAAUAGCUUGGAAAGAAAAUCAAUAAUUAAAA
Molecule: long non-coding RNA, 340 nt
Filed under: Lingula anatina
Lineage: Eukaryota; Metazoa; Brachiopoda; Lingulata; Lingulida; Lingulidae
Description: uncharacterized LOC106165002
Source: RNAcentral